Long non-coding RNA from Eleginops maclovinus (Patagonian blennie), 389 nucleotides. RefSeq lists it as uncharacterized. NCBI's taxonomy places the organism in Eukaryota, Metazoa, Chordata, Actinopteri, Perciformes, Eleginopidae. The record is from RefSeq and is a predicted model, not a curated record. The transcript has 3 exons.
UCGCUUUUAAUGCUAGCAGGAUAAAGUCAAAUUAGCCUGCUAGCAGUCUGUAGCCUAAAUGCUGCUAUGAGGAGGACAGACUCCACUCACUACUAGCGAGUUUGUUGUACUUAUUUUGUCUCUCUUCGUGAUGUCAAGACUUCCCUAAAACGAUUCAUAACGUCGAAGAUAACAGCUUCAUCCCACCUACUAAGGAGUCAACGCGGGGAUGAGCACGACUGCUGCAGCAGAGAGGGUCAGGAAGUUUACAGCCAAUGAGGGAUCCUGCAGGGACCCAAUACAUGAGGAACAGAAGACCAACAAUUAGCACAAAGCAAACUGGCAUGAUGAUGUGGAACUGGAUGAAGGUACACUUUGUACAGCAACAGCUCGGCACGAAGUGCUCCUCU